CCUACGGGUGGCAGCAGUGGGGAAUAUUGGGCAAUGGGCGCAAGCCUGACGCAGCAACGCCGCGUGAAGGAAGAAGGCUUUCGGGUUGUAAACUUCUUUUCUGAGGGACGAAGAAAGUGACGGUACCUCAGGAAUAAGCCACGGCUAACUACGUGCCAGCAGCCGCGGUAAUACGUAGGUGGCAAGCGUUAUCCGGAUUUAGUGGGUGUAAAGGGGGUGUAGGCGGGAAAGCAAGUCAGAUGUGAAACCUCAGGGCUCAACCCUGAGCCUGCAUUUGAAACGGUUUUUCUUGAGUGCUGGAGAGGCAAGCGGAAUUCCGUGUGUAGCGGUGAAAUGCGUAGAUAUAAGGAGGAACACCAGUGGCGAAGGCGGAUUGCUGGACAGUAACUGACGUUGAGGCGCGAAAGCGUGGGGAGCAAACAGGAUUAGAUACCCUAGUAGUC
RNAcentral lists this ribosomal RNA (443 nucleotides) under uncultured bacterium. RNAcentral describes it as "partial 16S ribosomal RNA". It matches the Rfam family "Bacterial small subunit ribosomal RNA", at positions 338 to 795 of the family's 1533-position model. The record is from RNAcentral.